CACACAGACUCGCAGAGAGAGAGAGAGAGAGAGAGAGAGAGAGAGCGCGGUGGAGACGCGCGGACAGCUCCAGUCAGUAGUACUUGAGUCAGUCAGGCACAGGCAGCCGUGAGGAACCGGGGAGAGGGAGCAGCAACACACCGCCUCCCCAACAACACCGACACCACCACCGACAACACUACUGACAUCCACAGCGCUCACUCACCCAGCGGAGGUGAAGGACGAGACCCGCCGGUCUGAGAGGCUCUCUCCGCGCCGGACUCGCCGCGUGUCCGCUCCGAGGAGCUCCGGAAACUUGUGGAAUUUACCGGGGAAACUGAAGAGAGACCGAGGCUACCUCUGACUCCUGACACCACUGCGCUUACUAUCCUCUCUACGUGUUUUUUUACCAGUUUAUUUCACCUUUUUAUCUUUUUAUCGCGUGUUUUUGAUUUUUGCAUUUUUUGUUUUUGAGAACGUGAACUGCCCGCGAGCGACAGAGCGUGCGUGUUUGUGUGUUUUUCUGUGUGAGUGAGGGAAAUACAGCGGAACGAGAGAGAGAGAUAGAGAUUGUGUGUGUGUGAAAGAGAGAGAGAGAGAGAGAAAGAGAGAGUGAGAGGAGAAGAAACUGCAGCUUUGGCCGCUGACAGACAGCAGCAGCACAGCGUUAUUAGCAGCACCAGCUCUUCUCAUUCUCCUGGUUUCCGCUGCUUCUUCUUCUUCUCUUCAUUAUUAUUUCUGGACGCGGUGAGUCAGUCAGUUAAUCAGAGCAGCUCCAGCUCCAGCAGCUCCAGCGGCUGCACUUGUUCCUCCUGCCCGCUUCCCUCGCACUGUAACCGGCUCCACUCCUCCAGCGCGCUCGCCCCGCUCCCGCGUUAGUUAUUAUUUUAUUUAGACAGUGAGUGUUUGUGAGCGUGUGUGAGAGCUUCGGGGGCCUCAGCUGUGGUAAAUUGUUUGGAAUAUGGUGGGGGAAAUGGAAGCGAAGGAGAAGCCGAAGCCCAGCCCAGACUAUCUGAUGCAGCUGAUGAACGACAAGAAGCUGAUGAGCAGCCUGCCCAACUUCUGCGGCAUCUUCAACCACCUGGAGCGGCUUCUGGACGAAGAGAUCAGCAGGGUACGGAAGGACAUGUACAACGACACAUUAAACGGCAGCACGGAGAAGAGGAGCUCAGAGCUGCCGGAUGCUGUGGGUCCCAUCGUUCAGCUCCAGGAGAAGCUCUAUGUUCCAGUGAAAGAAUACCCUGACUUUAAUUUUGUGGGCCGGAUCCUGGGUCCGCGGGGGCUCACCGCCAAGCAGCUGGAGGCUGAGACAGGAUGCAAGAUCAUGGUGAGAGGCAAAGGUUCAAUGAGAGACAAGAAAAAGGAGGAGCAGAACCGAGGAAAGCCAAACUGGGAGCACCUAAAUGAAGACCUGCAUGUCCUGAUUACAGUAGAAGACGCUCAGAACCGUGCCGAGAUCAAGCUGAAGCGGGCCGUGGAGGAGGUCAAUAAGCUACUGGUUCCUGCGGCUGAAGGCGAGGACAGUCUGAAGAAGAUGCAGUUGAUGGAACUGGCCAUUCUAAACGGCACCUACAGGGACGCCAACAUUAAAUCGCCUGCCCUUGCCUUCUCUCUUGCAGCGAGUGCCCAGGCACCCCGCAUCAUCGCCGGCCCCGCCCCUGUCCUGCCGCCGGCAGCCCUGCGCACCCCCACGCCCGCUGGCCCCACCAUCAUGCCCCUCAUCCGUCAGAUCCAGACUGUCAUGCCCAACGGCUCGGCCCACCCGGCCGCCGCCGCCACCCUGGUGCCACCUGGCCCCGAGUCGGCGGGCCUGAUCUACGCUGCGCCUUACGAGUACCCGUAUACACUGGCACCCGCAACAUCCAUCCUGGAGUACCCCAUCGACUCCAGCGGGGUGUUAGCGUCCUCAAAGGCCGAAGAGCUGCCCCUCUACCUGGGCUUUCAGACCUGUCACUUUCCCAUCACUGUCCAGCGUGGAGAGCCCACCAGCCGGCCUCCAUUUUAAAGCAGAACCCCUCACCACCUGCACCACCACCACCCCCUUACCCUUUUUCCCUUUUCCCCCUUUCCCUUUUUUCCCCCUCUUCCCCCUUUCCUGACCCGCAUUCACUCUUCCAACGGCCACACCCACUGCACUCCACACCCCACCACCCCAGUCCCUGCCCCACAACCGCCCGUCUUAUCGGACUGACCAGAAAGCGGCUCCUCGGAGGCUCUUUCACUGUUUAUCUCUUCUGCAACCUUCAUGCCUUGUCCAUUCUUUUUCUUUUUUUGAUUUGUUCUUUUGUAUUCAGAUUAAUUUGUUUUCAAUUGUAAUGAAAUGUGCUGUGUUGAAACUGUGUGUGUCAUAAUGAGGGAGAUACAAAAAAAAAAAGAGCACUGAGCCCCAAACUGCUGCAAAACCUUCUCUGGAUGCUCCCUCCAUUCCCCGCUCUGAUAGGGCGGGUCAGUCCGGAGGGGGGGUCAGGAGGGGUAACAUGACGACGGUGAGGGGACAGUGGGGGUCAGACAGGGGCUGCUUUGGGAGAUGUUAGAGAGGGCAGUGGUACAUCUGUUCUAAAUACAGCAGCUCUGUUCGCACAGCCAUUGUAGGACAGUUCAGCAGAGUGUUUACAGUAAAAGAUACAUAAAGAUAAAAGUGGAAUACAGGAGGGCUUGGCCUAACCAGCUCAGAGGGGCCUUACUUCUCAGGGUCGUAGGGUCCCGCACACGACUCGGACUGUCCUAGAACGGCUGUGCCGAUGCAGGAGACUGUAGUGUGUGUUGCUUUCCGAGGACAGACACUCCUGGCACUAAUUUCCCAUUCCCUUCCUUUAUUCUUUAGGUGUGGCUUUCCCCACGAAAGGCUAAAAGCGCUUUUGAGGAUCCUUACACUGAGCCCCUCAUCCGAUCUGAGUGUUAACACACGUGCGCUUUUUGUUUCACAGCGGCCUUGUUAUUGAUGAACCAUGAUUAUGUGUCUAGCAGUCAGACACACUACUGUUGUUUUUUUGUUUUUUGUUUGUUUGUUUGUUUGUUUACACUGGCCAUUCCUCGCCCAAAGAGGCUCAGCUUCUAGCACAUAUAUAUACUGUUUAUUUAUUUAUUGUCGCUGUUGUACAAAAACCUUGUGUUGAGUAAAAUUUUUGUGUAUAAUUUCUUAAUUUCUUAGUUGUUCUUUACUUUUUUUUUUUCAAAUGUUAUGAUUAAUGGACCAAUAGAAAAGCUCUAAAAAUUCUAAAAGUCCAAAUUAACUUAAAUUCGACUCUUAUGAAAUUGAGUUAAAGCAGAAAUCCAGUGUGAAAUAGACUUGGGUUGUAGUGAAACAUGAUAAGUAUGAACUUUUGUCAAUUAGCCCAUCUCUGUUCACCCCCAGCAUUCUGAAAUAUAGCACUUUAAAUAUAACACUGUUGCUCCCAACAGGCUUAUAAUGCUAGUGAUAGGGACAUAAUAUUGCCCAUGCACAGAAAUACCUCAAUUAAAAGCUUAAAGUAGCUCCGUACUUCAUUGAUAGAAUUUUGAGGGCUCUGACAUUUAAAACAAGGUACUGAGAACUUUAAAAGUGUGCAGGUAGUUUAUUUAAAAAAACUUAUACACACAGUACCUUUAAAUGGGCAACGUUAUGCCCGUAUCACUACUAUCAUAAACCUGUUGAGAGCAUAAAACGGCUAAAAGUGCUGUAUUUCAGAAUGCUGGGGGUGUACAUAGGUGGUAUAUAUUUUAGAAUGCUGGGGUUAGUAUAUAUAUAUAUAUAUAUAUAUAUAUAGUCACCAUCAUACAAAAGCCCAAUAUACACUUUUUUUACUUUUAAAAAAUAAUGUGAAUGUGGCACUUGUUCUUUAUAUUGGGUUUUUUCCUUCUUUUGUAAAGUUUCAGUUUACCAGUUACCAGAAGGUUUUUGUCCUACAGCGACAAUAUAUACAUAUAUAUGUGUGUGUGUGUGUGUGUUUGUUUGUGUGUGUGCGUAGUUACGGGACUGUUCUACUGACUGUGUGUGUUCUGGUUUAGGAAAAAGAAAAAUAUGAACAAAAAAACAUCAACUAAGAUCUUGCUUUACUAAUCACUUAAUUCACCGCUGUUGUGAUUAAUUUUAAUUUUAUUUUUUUUUUUACUACUGCAGACGUGCCUAUAAGCGAACGCUAUUAUCUCUGUGCCUUUGCUCAGAGAGCGAGUGUAUCAGUAUUAUAUUUAAAUGUGGAACUGUGGAGACAUGCACUUUCCUGUUGUUGCUCCUACGCAGGAAUUAUGUGACUAGUAAAGCCUCCCCUCUAUGUGUGUGUGUGUGUGUCCGUACAUAAACGUGUGCUUGUCAAUUAUCAUGUCCGUCAUACUGUAUCCAAGCAACGCAUGGGUCCACUUGGGAUGAAUGCAACCAUGUUUUUUUUUCCUUUUUUUAUUUUCUUAUAUUAUUAUUUUUUUUUUAUUGCUAGUUUUACAGAUGAAAGACAAGUAUUAUUUGUGCCUUAACUUGUAUGUUGAUGAUUCUUCUUAUUUUGGGUGAAUUUGGUUCUACAGAUAUACUGUAUGCCUCCUGUCCACUCUUUGUCUUAAAUUUGAUCUGUUGAUCUUGGGAUUUGUGAAUUCUUGAUUGAUCUAACCUGUGUUGUUGGUGAUAUGAUUGCAAUCCAAGCAGGUGCAGUGACAACAAAAGUACGAAGGCACGAAAUGCGGGUCCAUCCUUACCAAAGGGUAGUGACCACAGACAGAGCCACCACCGGCAACUAACAAUCUGACCUUCUGACCUCUCAACUUCACCCAAUGAUGACCUGCCCAUUACCUGCCUGCAGAUCACUUCUCUCAACUUCUCUCUCUCUCUAAACAUAAUAAAUGAUGAACAAAACGCACACAAGAGUGUGUUUAAACAGCCUUCACUUGACAGCAGAGUGGCGGAGUGGAGAAGUGGCUUUCCUGCAGCCGAGUCGACGUACGUAUGGACGCAGGCCAGUGGCUGGAACAGAAGACGUCCACGCCAGUUGGUACGAAUGGUCUGCUCCAAAAGUGGACCACCUGCCCCUGCAGAUCUGCACUCAGUCAUUUGUAAAAGCAAUAAGCAAUAACGCCCAAUUAGCCCAAUCUUCUCCACAACGGCAGACUGACUUCUCCACUCAACGAAGGCUUCACACUCCAACCUACAGCCCCAAAUACUGUAUACUGACCUCCAGACCCAGACCCAGCCUUCCGUCACGGGAAAAGCAUACACCUGCCGCAUUGCCCGUCUGUUGGUAACAGCUCUAUCUAUCUGAAUGUAUGAUAUGAUGUGUGAUAUGAUGGUGUGGCCUCAGUGCAUGCACCAUACAGUCGGCUCCUCCUAGUACAUGACAGAACUCAGCUGAUACAUCAACUGUCCAACUGGUGUGACUUUUUAAAUUUGGGGAAGGUAAGACAGACGUCGUAGCGUCAAAACAGCAAGGGACACGUGUCAAAAAACAAGCAUUUCCCCCCCCCCUCCCCUCUCCUCCAAAACAAUCGGACACUAUUCAGUGGACGAGUUUCUCUGAGGAUGUAUAAGCCAUGCUUGCCUAUCUGCUGUACAAAAUGUAUGAAAUUUGUAGAUAAAAAAAAUGUUUAAAAAGAAAAAAACAGAAUCCGCGAGACAAAGAACACGUGUACAGAAAAGAAACCUUUUAUUAUCCUCCUCUGCAGUGGAACAAACAGAACAUAUCUAUAUUUUUACAAUUACAGACUUUUAUACUCGCAAGUAUUGUCAAGGGAAAGACAAAAAAAGAAAAAAAUAAUAAUAAUAAAAAACUAAAACAGAUCAAACCGAAACCCUUUAUGAAGUGAAAACAAUCCAGUUUUCUGUAAUUGGAUGUAGAAACGGAUGACCAAAACAGCCCUCUCCUCUUGUCGACGGAGGGUUGAAAUGGAAACAUUACAAAAGUGCCUUAUCGUGGUUCUCUUCGAUCUGAAUGUGUCAUCAUUAGUGGCGAAUGAGCAGACCAGAGCUCAGUGCACGCAGCUUUCUCUGAGUGCAGGAAGAUGCCAUCAGCCUUCCGUGCUCAUCUUAUAUUUCCCCUUCAGUUUAAGCAGCUGAUUUGAUGGCUGGAUUUAAAUUCUAAAUCUGAAUCCUUAAACUUGCUUAAAAAGGCUUGUAGUCUUCAGUAACAUCAGUAACUACUGUGAAUUUUCCAGUUACUGCAGGAAAACCCUUUUUAUUUCAAUUUUACGUUGAGUAUGUAAGAUGUGAAUGGGCUAACCUAUAGGCGUUCAGUGUUUAGGAAGUUUUUAGACUGUUCAAUUUUGUAUAAAUUCACCCUAAAUUUACCCUCAAAUAUUUUAAAGUUUGGAAUCAGAGGCCCGUUAAGAAAUUUCUUAGAAAGUCAUUGGUAAAACAGGCGAUUCAGUCAGAAGCCUAGAAUGAACAUACUGUGUUCAAUAACGUAAUAAAAUAUAUACAAUAAAAUGUGUUUGUAAUCUAAAGAAAAAAAACGUAUAAAAACUUAUAUGAACUUGUGAAAAUAUAUGAAAUAUUAGUUGUACCAGUAUGAUGAACUGGACACAUCUCCAGACAAUAUUGAGUUUCCAAAGUGGUCAAAAGUGUGAGAAUGAUUGUUAUAUUAUUUUAUCAUUUAUAGUUUUAUAAUAGCUCUUUUUAGAGCAAUAAUAGCCAUUUUACACAAUACACUUAUUGAAAUAAAAGGUUUUACAUACUGUAUGAAAAUAGGUUCUUUUGUCCUUUUUUGGUGCUACAGACAACCAUUCAUAACCUCUAAAUGUUUUUUAGUUAUAGAAAAUUUAACCAGACAAAAAAUAAUCAUAAAUGUGCGAUCCUAAGACCCCAAACUUUUUCUUUGGGUGCAUUUUUAAUUUAUCCUAUAUAUUUGGGAUUAGCAAACAUUUUUGCAAAAAUCAAUUUCAUCAUAUGGGGAAGUAAGUGUCUGGACUGGCUGUAGAAACUUUUGACUGGGAUUCCCAUUAUCGUGUUUUUAAUGAAUUGAGUCUGUAAAUGUCGUCCAAAAUGUGACCACCAGAUGUAAUGGACAGUGUUUCCAUAUGGGGCCAAAUGAUCAAUGUUUUAACAAAUUGAGUAUCAUGGUGCGGAGAAUCAGAAAUGUAAUAUAUGAUAUAUGAUAAAUGUCCAUAUAUGAGUAUGCAGGGUCUCAAGAGGUUAUAGAACAAUUCGAAAGAACUAAAGAACUAUCCCAUUAGUAAUUAUAACAUGUGUUUAAAAUGUAUGAAAUGUAUGUUUUUUAUCAGGUUUAAGCAUAUUAUCAUUGUCACACAAAAAUCUCAUCCAAAAGAAUAAAAAAAUAAAUAUUGGCUUUAAUUAGAAGUUAUUGUAAAAUUAAUUUAUUUUGUGAAACAUUUGAGUCGAUGCAUUUAUUGUGAUUUUUUUUUAUAAAACUCCCAAUUUCAAAAAGUUUAAAAACAUCAAAUAUUAUAAAAGUUAUUAUAGAAGAACACAAUGUGAAUUUUUAGUGUGAAGCAGGAAUAGCUUUGUGCCUAAAACCUUAUGCUUUCUGAUUGGGCUUAAACACUCAGCUCAAUAUUUAAUAUAUUACAACUGUGAACUGAAUAAACUGUACAGUAUUAGUCUCAGUGCUCAGUGCAGCCUAAAAUCGACAGACUGCACCGCAUUUAACAGCAUUUAACAGAGUUACGUGGGGGGGUUUAUUAUGAUGGAUUGCAUUAAAAUACAUUAAAUAAAGGUUGGAAUAUAAUGAACUGUAAGAGAGAAAGAAAGCUGCGUACACUGCCCAGCCUGGUCUGCACCAUAUUACUGUGUCGUGUGUCCCCCUAGACCCCGCCCCCAAAUCUUACUUUACUAUGCAACAGAAUGGCCUCUGACGUCUUGUGGGGAGCAUAUGUGUGUGUCAAUCAGACAUGUCUUCCUGUACCGUCCUCACGUCUCUCCACCAACACCACCACCACCACCACUACUACUAUUACUACUACUUUUCAGUACGGAUUCUGCAGUGCCAUGACAGUAUUGUUGUCAUCAUGAAGGUAUUAGAAUUGAUAGUCUUUUGAAAUAAAAUAAGAUGAAAUUAAAAAUGAAAUGACAUGAAAAUCGCCUGUUUGCCAAAAAAAAAAAAUGCUGUUUUUUUUGUGUAGAUUAUAAGAUAAACCAAUUUGAGAAACAGAUUUUUUUUUCUAAAGAGAAUAAAUGUUAUUAGAUGAUCAACAUCACAGGUUAUUGAUCUGCCCACGAGCGAAGAGUACCAUAUUUGACAUCGCAUGAUACUUUACUCCCCUUUGAUAGCAAAUAGUCCCAAUCUGGUUUCUUUUUUGGUUUUAAUGAAAUGAGUUUUAGUUUUUAUUCCAGAAUUAGUGAGAAUUGAUCAAUGUGAAUGUUCUUCAUGAUUGGAGUGAAUAAGUAAGUGUGUUACAGACCUACAGACUGAAGUUUCUCUGUGUUAGAUCCAUGAUGUGUGCGCCCCAUACCCAAGUAUUGCCUAUGAGAAAAUACGUAUGUCUGUAUCAACAGCCAUUGUUACAAGUUUAUACCGUAUUUUUCUAUCUUAUUUUUUAUGUAUGUAAUAAACUACAUUAAAUGCA
Astyanax mexicanus (Mexican tetra) is the source of this 8457-nucleotide RNA transcript. It is a transcript of the gene named protein quaking, with no coding region annotated. The record is from RefSeq and is a predicted model, not a curated record. The transcript has 8 exons. NCBI's taxonomy places the organism in Eukaryota, Metazoa, Chordata, Actinopteri, Characiformes, Acestrorhamphidae.